This 142-nucleotide unclassified non-coding RNA is filed under the name uncultured fungus. Its description in RNAcentral is "sequence contains ITS1, 5.8S rRNA gene". Lineage: Eukaryota; Fungi. The record is from RNAcentral.
CCGAGUGAGGGCCCCCGGCCCGACCUCCAACCCUUUGUUGACCAACACCUGUUGCCUCGGGGGCGACCCGGCCUCCGUGCCGGGGUCCCCGACGGACCUCAAACUCUGUGUCUGUACGUCGGAGUGUAAAUUGAAUCAAUCA